GCGGUACUCUGACCGUGCAAAGGUAGCAUAAUCAUUUGCCUUAUAAUUGAAGGCUAGUAUGAAUGGUUUGACGAGAAUUAAGCUGUCUCUUUUUAACUAAAUAUAACUUUAUUAAGAGGUGAAGAAGCCUGUAUUUUAUUGAAAGACAAGAAGACCCUAUCGAGCUUUAAAGAAUUUAGUAGAUUUACCAUAUAUUAAUAAAAAAGUAAAGCAACUAAAUAUUUUGGUUGGGGCGACUGAGGAACAAACAAAGCUUCCUUUAUGCUAUUAAAACUUACAAGUAUUGAUCCAAUUUAUUUGAUUAAAGAAAUUAGUUACCGUAGGGAUAACAGCAUAAUCUCCUUUGAGAGUUCUCAUCGAAAAGGGGGUUUGUGACCUCGAUGUUGGACCAGAAUACCCAGAAGAUGCAGCCGUCUUCAAUGGUUGGUCUGUUCGACCAUUAAAAUUCU
RNAcentral lists this ribosomal RNA (449 nucleotides) under Reishia clavigera. RNAcentral's name for it is "partial 16S ribosomal RNA". It matches the Rfam family "Bacterial large subunit ribosomal RNA", at positions 1933 to 2597 of the family's 2925-position model. The record is from RNAcentral. Lineage: Eukaryota; Metazoa; Mollusca; Gastropoda; Neogastropoda; Muricidae.